CUUGGUCGACUCAAAAGUAUGUCAAGCAUACCAAAAUUGAUUUUAGGUAGCUUUUAUUAUUCAAACAUAUUUUAAGCUUGACAUGCCUUCUCAAACAUAAUUUAUACACAGUUAAGCUUGUUGAGAAAUCUUUUUAGACUAUACUUUCCAUUUAUCCAAAUAUUUUCAUAUCGAAUUCAAUUUCUUUGCUUCCAAAUAUGAAUCUUUGACUUGAAAAUGUAGAUUCAUUUAAAUUUGAGAAGACUUCUUUUUGGAUGAACUCAACCAU
RNAcentral lists this long non-coding RNA (268 nucleotides) under Elaeis guineensis (African oil palm). RNAcentral describes it as "long non-coding RNA (EGUI_LNC049938)". The record is from RNAcentral. Lineage: Eukaryota; Viridiplantae; Streptophyta; Magnoliopsida; Arecales; Arecaceae.